Molecule: ribosomal RNA, 276 nt
Filed under: uncultured bacterium
Lineage: Bacteria
Description: partial 16S ribosomal RNA
Rfam family: Bacterial small subunit ribosomal RNA
Source: RNAcentral
CGCCUGCCGGCGACCGGCGCACGGGUGAGUAACACGUAUGCGACCUGCCCCCCGCAGGGGGAUAACCGGGAGAAAUCCCGACUAAUACCGCGUAACGCCGCGGACCUGCAUGGGUCUGCGGCCAAAGGAAGCGAUUCCGGCGGGGGAUGGGCAUGCGGCGCAUUAGCUAGUCGGCGGGGUAACGGCCCACCGAGGCGACGAUGCGUAGGGGUUCUGAGAGGAAGGUCCCCCACACUGGUACUGAGACACGGACCAGACUCCUACGGAAGGCAGCAG